GAUGAACGCUGGCGGCGUGCCUAAUACAUGCAAGUCGAGCGAACAGACGAGGAGCUUGCUCCUCUGACGUUAGCGGCGGACGGGUGAGUAACACGUGGAUAACCUACCUAUAAGACUGGGAUAACUUCGGGAAACCGGAGCUAAUACCGGAUAAUAUAUUGAACCGCAUGGUUCAAUAGUGAAAGACGGUUUUGCUGUCACUUAUAGAUGGAUUCGCGCCGCAUUAGCUAGUUGGUAAGGUAACGGCUUACCAAGGCGACGAUGCGUAGCCGACCUGAGAGGGUGAUCGGCCACACUGGAACUGAGACACGGUCCAGACUCCUACGGGAGGCAGCAGUAGGGAAUCUUCCGCAAUGGGCGAAAGCCUGACGGAGCAACGCCGCGUGAGUGAUGAAGGUCUUCGGAUCGUAAAACUCUGUUAUUAGGGAAGAACAAAUGUGUAAGUAACUAUGCACGUCUUGACGGUACCUAAUCAGAAAGCCACGGCUAACUACGUG
RNAcentral lists this ribosomal RNA (497 nucleotides) under uncultured bacterium. RNAcentral's name for it is "partial 16S ribosomal RNA". It matches the Rfam family "Bacterial small subunit ribosomal RNA", at positions 28 to 507 of the family's 1533-position model. The record is from RNAcentral.